CGCAGGAGAGGGCUGGGCGCGGUGUGGCGGCCGCCUCGCCACAACUUGCCCGGAGCAGACAGGCUCCAUCCUGCGCGCUGGAAGCAGCAGCCGGUCCGCCGCUUCCCGCUCGGCUCCUCCGCGGCCUCCGCCUGGGCCAGCAGCGCUCUUGGGGUCUGAGCCCCAGCGUCGCCCCCGUCGGCUCGCAGCGCUCGGCACCCGCCUUGGAGCGCGCAGCUGGGGUGCUGGGGAUAGAACGGUGAGCAAGCGAGGCCAAGGCCCUUGCUCCCUCUGAUCUGCAGCCCAGUGGAUGGGGCCCACCGUCCACAGACCUGCCAGGAAAGAAAACAAUUUUCCUGAUGGUUGGGCCAAGCAGGGGCUCCUGGUGGAUUGAGGAACAACUGGCUGUUCCUCGAUUUAUUCAUCUGUGUGACAGCCACAGGCAGCCCCCCAGAAGACCCCAAGAAUGAGAGGCCUGACAUCUCCAAGUUGCUGCUAGUUUAGCCUCUCCAAAAAACACAAUGCAGCCGCCUCUCAAGGCCCUGGGCGCUUGCUGACCGCGCGCAGGCUGGCGCGUCCUUUGCUCCAGGUCCAGCCCCGGCGCUGCCAUAGCAACGGCUUGGACGCGGGGACCUUAGGCCGCCGCCGCCGCCGCCGCC
Molecule: long non-coding RNA, 638 nt
Organism: Condylura cristata (star-nosed mole)
Lineage: Eukaryota; Metazoa; Chordata; Mammalia; Eulipotyphla; Talpidae
Exons: 4
Source: RefSeq, a predicted model, not a curated record